ACAUCGAUAGCUCUGUGGCAGAGCGGUGGUCCGUUGUCCCAUGCAACCUGGGUUCGUUUCCCAGUCGUUGCA
Molecule: non-coding RNA, 72 nt
Organism: Phthorimaea operculella (potato tuberworm)
Lineage: Eukaryota; Metazoa; Arthropoda; Insecta; Lepidoptera; Gelechiidae
Source: the annotation of a GenBank genome assembly